GCCACGUGGCUUAGAAGCCCAAAUUCAAAAUGGCGAUAGUGCAGAGUCUGACCAUGGCUCACAAUCUGAGGGAGAAGAAUCAGACUUUGAAAUUCAGGACUUACAGAGAAAUCUUAACAGGCUGCGUUUAACACCACCUGCCCAGGCUAUUCGAAUUCGGCCGGUACCUGCUAAAAGGACAAAAUUUAACAGGUACGCUGGAUUAACAAUGACUUUUCUUACCCCGUUCCAGCGAGGUAUUAAGAAAGCACAGGAAGAUGGGGAGGAUACUAGCAGUUUUCAACUUUUUCCUGUUUUUGAGCAAGUUAAUGAGCAAGAUCAGAGAGUUAGAGUUCAUGCUGUAAUCCCAUUUAAGACCAUUCAGGAACUAAAAAAUGCAUGUGAGACGUAUGGUCCAAAUUCGCCUUUCGUACAGAGCCUGAUAGAAAAUAUUUGCUCGCAGACCCUUCCUCCUAGCGAUUGGAUUUCUUUAGCCAGAUCCUGUCUGAGCGGGGGAGAUUUCUUACUCUGGAGAACUUAUUGGACUGAUUUUUGUACUGAACAGGCAGAAAAGAACAAAAGACAGGAUAUAGAAACACCAAUAGAGAUGUUUCUAGGGACCGGUGAUUUCGCUGAUUUAGAAAGACAGUUAAAUUAUGAUUUUGUAGUAUACAAUCAAAUAACUGAUUGUGCAAAACGUGCUUGGAGACAGAUCGUCUCUAAGGGCCAAUCCAAUUUAGUUCUUACCAAAAUCAGGCAAGGUGCGAGUGAACCUUACUCAGAUUUCGUAGCCCGAUUGUACCAGGCUGCAAACAGGUCAAUCGGGGACUCGGGAGCAAGUGAGUUCAUUGUUAGGCAACUGGCAUUCGAAAAUGCAAAUAAGUAUUGUCAAAAUGUUCUUAGACCGCACCGUAAAAAAGGGACAGUUUCCGAGUUUAUUCGCUUAUGUUCUGACCUGGACUCUACCCAUUUACAGACAGUAGCCCUAGCCGCAGCACUAAAGGAAACUUUGAGUCCACAAGAUUUAGUUCAAAAACCCUGCGGGAGAUGUUACGUUUGUGGGAAAAAUAAUCAUUUUGUGCGUGAGUGUCGCAUGCGCGAUUUUAAGUUCAGGGCUCCAUAGUCUGGCGAUAAUAGAUAUUGCAGGGCUCAGCCCCAUGUGGUAGAUCCAGAUGGCGCGGAUGAGCCCACCUUCUUGUCAUCAUUUCCGCCUGGCCGAAACACAAACUUCCGGUCGGCCCGCCCCUGGGCCGAGAAUGAGGAAGUAGGUGAUGGUUGCGCAAUGUGACGUCAUCGCGCCGACCAUGGGGGCCGCCAUCUUUGAUUUUACCGGAGCGAAACAAGCAGUUUCCGUACAAACCCCUAAUAAUUUUCAAGGCUUUUAGGAGAUAUUAAUUGGCUGAGGCCAUCCCUAAAACUAACUACUUCUGAGUUAAGUCCUUUAUUUCAGAUAUUACAAGGAAAUCCCUCUCCAACCUCUCCAUGCCAGCUGACCUUAGAGGCUAGAACGGCUUUAAGGAGAGUUGAACAUGCAAUUAAAAAUGCACAGCUUACUAGAGUUGAUCCUAAAGAAAUAGUGUAUUUAUUAAUAUUUCCAACUGAACAUACCCCAACAGGAGCCAUAUGGCAAAGAUUAGGAGUUAUUGAGUGGAUUUAUUUAUCCCACUCUCCUCAAAAAACAUUAAUUCCUUUUCAUGAUUCUAUAGCUCAAUUAGUAAUUAAAGGUAGAACUAGGAUUUUACAAUUAAUUGGAUCUGAGCCUGAUAUCAUAAUUAUUCCAUUUUCUGUUCAACAGACUAAUUGGCUUUUUCAAACUUCUAGUUCAUGGCAGAUAGCCUUUGCUGAUUUUCCUGGCCAGAUAGAUAGCCAUUAUCCUCGUGAUAAGAUUAUACAAUUUGCAUCAUUAACGUCACUUAUUUUUCCAAAGAUUGUACGUGCACAUCCUAUAGAUGAAGCUUUAUUGGUGUUCACGGAUGGUUCUAACUCAGGUAAAGCAGGUUUUUAUAGUCGUGUUCACACAGAGAUAAUACAAACUUCUUAUACUUCUGCCCAAAGAGCAGAGCUUCAAGCUCUGAUUUGUGCCUUUAAUUACUUUUCUAAUGAGCCUAUUAAUAUUUAUUCUGACAGCUUGUAUGCAGUCAAAGUUACUAAAAACAUUGAAACUUCAGUUAUUGGGUAUACUUCAUCACAGGAGUUAUUUGAAUUAUUUCAUAAUUUACAAAAGGCAGUGCUAAUGCGAAAAUACCCAUGUUUCAUAGGGCACAUAUGGGCUCAUACUAAUCUUCCAGGACCCUUAGUUUCAGGUAAUGACAAGAUUGAUAAAUUAGUAACUUUUUGUCAACAGAUGUCUUCAUAUGACUGUGCACUAGCUUCCCAUUCCUUGCAUCAUCAAAUGCUCCAGCUUAUGUAAGCUCUUCUUUUCAACAAUUUUGCCAAGAGUUUAAAAUUAAUCAUAAAACAAAAAUUCCUUAUAACCCCCAAGGUCAAGCCAUUGUGAAACGAGCUCAUUUAUCUAUUAAGCUUCAAUUACAAAAAUUAAAGGGGGGGGAAUAGGUUUAUGACUCCCCAAAAUAGGAGCCCCUAUCCAGAAGGAAGAGAUAUCGGAAAAGGAUGAAGAAAGACCAGAUUGACCCAGCCGAAAAGCUGAUUUCAUGGGAAGAUGUGAAGAAGCUAACAACCCAGGCUUCCCAAAUACUUCGACACCUAGGAGAGAACAGGACCCCAGUGAUGAUGGUAACAACAGUAAUUGCCCUGUUGGGCUGUCAGGUAAAGGGAGAUCAAGUAGACACUUAGUGGACAUAUUUCCCAGAUCCACCCCUGGUACACCCAGCUGUGUGGACUGGAGAAUCUAUUCCAGUAUUUACUAAUGACUCAUUCAUGAUGGGAGGAUUUACGGAUACUCAUAUUACUCCCAAUCAUGUGACUAGAUUUAAUUAUUCUGGCUACAGUGCCCAAUUACCUUUGUGUUGGUCCCAUGAUAAACAUGCUGGCUGUCUGAAAGUAUCAUUCGAAGAAAAGACAGCGAUUGGUAGACCUAGACUGAGAAAUAAUUCUAUUUAUGGGGACUUAAGACCUAUACUAGAUCAGUAAUUGAGAUGGGACUUUCCCAUAACAAGCCAGUCAUUUCUGUAAAACCUCCACGGAUACCCCACUGUCCAAAUAGUUCUACAAUUGAGAUUGGCACCUUUCCUAGAAGGAUGGAUUGUGUGAAUACCUUUCCUGUACAACAUAAGGUGUCUAAAGAUAGUGGGUAUAUUUUAGACUGGUCUCCAAAAAUUGAUAAGAGACAAUUACGAAGAAAUUCUGCUAUGACACCUGCAGGAUUUGUUAGUAAUAUUUUAACUUAUAGUGAAGAUGGUGUUCAAAAGGAUGUUUGGCGUUUAAUUGCUGCCUCAGAAUUCUUACAUUUUACAGACAAACCUUUACCAAAAUUUGUUGGCAAGAACUGUAAAGAGGGAUCUUGCUAUGGCUUACAAGCCUGUGUCCAAUCUCCUUAUGUUUUAAUUAUUGGAAAUGUAAAGGUUAAAUGGAUAGAUGACAGAUAUAUUGUUACUUGUAAUAAAUGUAACCUAACCAAUUGUAUUACUAGGUAUAAUGGAGGAAAAGGAGUGCUGAUACUACAUCAGCCCUCUUUCGUUUUAUUGCCUGCUAAUAUUUCAGAGCCAUGGUAUGCGGAUACUGGUUUACAAGUCUUGCAGCAAAUUCAUGCCCAGUUAGCAAGACCUAAACGUGCUAUUGGAGUUAUAAUUGUUGGUGUUUUGGCGCUAGUCUCCUUUAUUGCCUCAACUGUCUCUGCGUCUCUGACAUUGUCUCAAAAUAUUCAGCAUGCAAAAUUUCUUAAUAAUUUAGCUCAAAAUACUUCCAAGGCUCUGCGUAAUCAAGUAAGUAUUGAUGAAAGGAUUGAAACUAAAUUAAACGCCUUAGAGGCGACUGUUAUAGACAUAGGUAAUGAACUUUCAGCCUUAAAAUUUAAGGAAAGGCUUAAAUGCCAUGCUAAUUAUAAGUAUGUUUGUGUUACAGCUGCCAAGUACAAUGCUUCUCUCUGGGAUUGGGAGAAGGUUAAAAACCAUUUGUUAGGUAUUUGGCAAGAUAGUAAUAAUAGCUUGGAUAUUCUGGAACUUCAUCACCAUAUCCAAGACAUUCAAAAUAAUAGAGCUGAUUUUUCAGAUCCUUCUUCUUUGGCUAACCAAAUAUUGAAGGAGUUGAAUGGAUUCAACCCUGGAAAUAUUCUUAAACACUCGGCCUGGUACAUUAUUGGAUUAUUCUCUUUGCUGUUAAUUCUCUUUUGUGUUGUAAUCAUAGGAUGGCGAGUCUUCGGAACAAGAAUACAGAAACUCCAAAGAGUGAACCGCCGCCUCAUUUUUAAGAAAAGAAAGGGGGAAUAUGUGGAGAGCCAUUCUCAUGCGUGACUGGGUGACUCCCGGUUUGGGUCUGAGGUGUUCUGGCUGUGUCGGAACUUUCCCAGCCCUCUCCUGAUGAGAGAACCAGUCCGUGUGGGGGUGUGACUGACCACUGACCCUGACCUUGGAGUGCGGCCCCCCCUCAACCUUCAUUGCAUGGAAUUAUCCCCUGAAUUUCUUGUUCCCCAAUAAAAGGCUACUCCCUGGCGUGCUCGCUCUCUCUCUCUCCUGCUAGCCCUGAGUAAUCCUUGCUGCCCUACGGGUGGUUCGAGGUUGGAGACAGAGAGGGGAGCCGUCUCGGACCUGGUCAUAGAAAAAGGUAACUGAGUCUGUGUGUUUUAUUUCGAUCUCUGCUAGCUAACUUUUAUGCCAAGAACCUCAUUAAUGAAACCAAUGUGCAGGCCACAUGGUGGAAGCCAGGACUUAAGUUGAUAUGCAAAUAGAAGAAGCCUGGGGCUCAGUAGAGGACAGAUCUGAGAUCCAAAGGAAAAAAAAAGAAAUAAAAGUGUCUUUUUACCUGAACUCAAACUAGACCAAACCAAAAAGUAAAUUGUAUGGUAUUUACUAAUUAC
Molecule: long non-coding RNA, 4951 nt
Filed under: Marmota monax (woodchuck)
Lineage: Eukaryota; Metazoa; Chordata; Mammalia; Rodentia; Sciuridae
Source: RNAcentral